CUACGUGCCAGCAGCCGCGGUAAUACGUAGGGGGCAAGCGUUAUCCGGAUUUACUGGGUGUAAAGGGAGCGUAGACGGAGUGGCAAGUCUGAAGUGAAAACCCUGGGCUUAACCUGGGGACUGCUUUGGAAACUGUUAAUCUAGAGUGUUGGAGAGGUAAGUGGAAUUCCUGGUGUAGCGGUGAAAUGCGUAGAUAUCAGGAAGAACACCGGAGGCGAAGGCGGCUUACUGGACAAUAACUGACGUUGAGGCUCGAAAGCGUGGGGAUCAAACAGGAUUAGAUACCCUGGUAGUCCACGCUGUAAACGAUGAAUACUAGGUGUCGGGGAGCAAAGCUUCUCGGUGCCGUCGCAAACGCAAUAAGUAUUCCACCUGGGGAGUACGUUCGCAAGAAUGAAACUCAAAGGAAUUGACGGGGACCCGCACAAGCGGUGGAGCAUGUGGUUUAAUUCGAUGCAACGCGAAGAACCUUACCUACUCUUGACAUCCAGAGAACAUUC
RNAcentral lists this ribosomal RNA (500 nucleotides) under uncultured bacterium. RNAcentral's name for it is "bacterial SSU rRNA". It matches the Rfam family "Bacterial small subunit ribosomal RNA", at positions 501 to 1000 of the family's 1533-position model. The record is from RNAcentral.